AGUGAACGCUGGCGGUAGGCCUAACACAUGCAAGUCGAACGGCAGCACAGUAAGAGCUUGCUCUUACGGGUGGCGAGUGGCGGACGGGUGAGGAAUACAUCGGAAUCUACUUUUUCGGGGGGGAUAACGUAGGGAAACUUACGCUAAUACCGCAUACGACCUACGGGUGAAAGCAGGGGAUCUUCGGACCUUGCGCGAUUGAAUGAGCCGAUGUCGGAUUAGCUAGUUGGCGGGGUAAAGGCCCACCAAGGCGACGAUCCGUAGCUGGUCUGAGAGGAUGAUCAGCCAGACUGGAACUGAGACACGGUCCAGACUCCUACGGGGGGCAGCAGUGGGGACUAUUGCACAAUGGGCGCGAGCCUGAUCCACCCCUACCGCGUGGGUGAAGAUGGCCUUCGGGUUGUAAAGCCCUUUUGUUGGGAAAGAAAAGCAGCAGGUUUAUACCCCGCUGUUCUGACGGUACCCUAAGAAUAAGCACCGGCUAACUUCGUG
Molecule: ribosomal RNA, 492 nt
Filed under: uncultured bacterium
Lineage: Bacteria
Description: partial 16S ribosomal RNA
Rfam family: Bacterial small subunit ribosomal RNA
Source: RNAcentral